Long non-coding RNA from Alexandromys fortis (reed vole), 5426 nucleotides. RefSeq lists it as uncharacterized. The record is from RefSeq and is a predicted model, not a curated record. The transcript is spliced from 4 exons. Lineage: Eukaryota; Metazoa; Chordata; Mammalia; Rodentia; Cricetidae.
GGCUGAGCCCCGCCCCGUGCUGAGUCCGCGACGGAGUACCGCGUCCUGAGGUGAACCACAGGAGUCUGGAACACUUGAGCCGGGCUGAGAGUUUUAAACCGGUUGUGGUCUGGUGCUGAACUUCGGAAGGACGUUUGAGAGGUUUUAUGGACUCACGCUCCCCACCCUAUCAGCUGUCCUUGCUGGAGGUGAAACUGUCUUUACAAGGGAGCACAGUGCGUAGUCAUACCGACUGACGGAUGAAGAGACUAUCCCACUACAGUGCUGUGAGAGCAAACCAAACUGCGCCACUUGGCAACUCCUUGCUCAUCUUCAGAGAUCCUCAGGCGCUUCGCAGAUACGCAAGGCUGCAUAAGGAACUGGGUAAACAAUUGUUCAAACAAUGCAUCUGCUGUCUCCUUUCUAAAGGUAAACAGAGGGAUAAAAAUACAAAAUAAAACAAAAAACAGAGUUGCCCCAAAGCAACUCUGACACCAGGCUUAUUUUGUUCCACUAUUUUGAGAAGAGCCAUGCUAUUCUCCUGGCUGCUCAUACUGCAGCUCAUGUGACUUUGGAUUAUAAUACAAUCCUGUCAGAUUCAGUCUUCCAGCAGCUCAUUUUUGGGAGAGCUGACGCUCAGGGUAUGGACCUUGGGUCCAGCUUGGUAGACCUUAUAGCGUGUCUGCUAGUGUCAGGCAGGGCAGUAAUAACACACGAGCGAGCUCUCUGUAAUUCCCAACUGUGCCGUCCUUUACUGGGGUGUGGAGAGCAUGUGAGGAUAGCAGAACCAACCCAGGAAACUCUGAGAAAGAAUGAAAAAGAAUGGCUGUAUUGUGUGGGGUUAGGCUGGGGUGAUCAGUGCAACAAAAUGUUUGUUUCAAGUGUUGAAGGCUGUACACUAUGCCGGGGGCUUCAAGUGUUGAAGGCUGUACACUAUGCCGGGUGUUUCAAGUGUUGAAGGCUGUCACUAUGCUGGGUGUUGGAGGCAGCUCCACAGCCCUGGGUGUCUUAUUGUAGGGGACCCAAAAUAGAGGGACUAAGGAAAAAUAAGUCGUUUGUUUCAUUAAUUUUCAAGUUGCUUGCCUACAAAUGUCUUCGUGAAUUUCAAGAAUUGUAUUAUACCCAGAGAAGUUUGUGUGUGUGUGUGUGUGUGUGUGUGUGUGUGUGUGUGUGUGUGUGUGCGCGCGCGGUUCAUGUGUGUUGGGGAGGUCUUGGCUCUCCCAAACUGUUUCAUUAACUCCAGGAGCCCUUUGCUACCUAGUAGGUCAUGAAUAAAUAACAUUUGCAUGUUUAAUAAUACUAAUGUGUAUCUUUCUUGAACUCAGUACAUAGAAAGAUCUGAUACACUUUCUCUUCUAGCAAUAGUACAUGCUUGUUAUAUGCCUAUACCAUUCUUUCCUCUUUUACUAGAGAAACCAACUGUCAAGAGAAAUUAAGACAUUAAAGUUACCCAGGUGGCCUUGAAAGGGGGCCCAGAAAUAAGCGCCUAACUUCCGUCCUAACGGUCAUUUUGUCCUAUUCACAGCUGCCCUGAAAUCUCAAUUCUUGUUUGUUUCUUGGAUGGAAAUUUCCGUUUUAAAAGCCAGAAAAAAAAAAAGAUACCGUAAGCAGAUUAAUUUAGGCCUUAACAUCCUGCCCGAUCUCCCUCCAGUCCUUCACUGACAUUCUUCCCCCAGAUCCCUCUAGAAAAUGACCAGCAUGUUUGCUGUAAAGAAUUUUAGCUAGUAUCAUCCAACAUCAAAGGCUGAGAAUAGUAGACAAUGUUUGUUUUUACCCUCUGUAUGGAAUGUAUUGUCAAUCAAGAUAUCCCCAGCUUCCCAGUGGAUUUAGGUGUAAUCAAAGACCAGCACACACACACACACACACACACACACACACACACACACACACUUCCACCAACACCACCAUCAACACCACCAACACCACCACCACCAACAACAAAACCCCACAGGAAGACCCUCCUAAGCAUUAUCUGGCAUAAAGAUUUUCUAAACCUGGAGCUAUUAAUGAGCGCCUGAGACCAGAGGAACCACAGUGGGGUUAUCACCAUUAUUUUAAACCACACUUUUAGCUGAGACCCUCAUUUAGAAAAUGUAAUGAAAUUCAAGGUUGCUUUGAAGUACUCCCAGGAAUCUCUGUGGACAUGGGCAUGCUUGCUCCUCCCAUACAAAGACACAGCACUAACCAUCUUCUUCAAAUAAUCCUGACAAAACUACAUUUGGCUCUUAAGACACUUUAGACGUGCUCAGUGGUCUACAGGUAGAAGAGAUCAGUGAAACACAAUAUCAAACAACCCAAAUUAUGACAACCGCAUUUCCAGACAUCAGCGUCUUUAGCCAGGUGUUUAAAAAUAAUCUCAAAAAUAUUCCAUAUAAAUUAUUUCCUCUAUUGCUUGCUCUUUGGAAAAAGAAGAAGCUUGGGAGACUGAUUUAAAAUCCAGGGCUUACACCAGAUAUGUCUGCAUGGGUCGGAACAGUGAGGCGUUAGGAAAACAAAACCCCAAAACCAAAUCUUCCUGACUGUUGCUCUUUCCCAUUUAAAGAGAUCACUUUGAGACAGGAUGAGGAUAGAGAAGAGUGCUUCAUUUGCUUCUUUCCAUCACCCCUCAAGUGCACGUAAUUGGUUAAUUGAGUGUUAAAGGAGGGCCUGGCUGGUAGAAGGUGCGGAAGGGCAGGAGCUGUGCCCUUCUGUGAGUUCCUGUUUUGUCCCCACAUGGUGCCUGCUAGUUUGCAGCGUGAAAGGGUGCUCCGUACCUCUGAUUUGCCCAUGGAGGCGAUGCACACAUGGGAAGCAGUUACAGAUGGAAGAAACACACGGACACAUCUGUUUACUCUGGGUCUACGUAAAUCCCCUGGUAAUUAGCAUCUUAACCAGCCAAGAGGGAAGUGGACCAACAGUGUGGCGUGCAUUGAGGGCUUUGAAAACAAACCAGCGACCUUACACGUGUCUAUAAGCAGAAAUGGCUCUUACAAUUUGUAACUGUUGCACCAUUUCUUCUCGGUAAGCCAGCUCCCUUUUCAUCUGAUCCUGGAAGUUAUCUGGGGAAGAGAGAGACAGAAAGGAAAUUAAUGCAAGUGCAGAAUCCAUAUGUAGUAUGCAGUUGGUCCUCCAAAUCCUAGACUCCUGGUGCUGUGGAUUGAACCAACCUCAGAUCAACAACAUGACACUGGAUCGGUAACAAGGAAGAUGGAGUAACAUCCACCCACAUCUGCCUGUAUCAGUGAUGCAGACACCCACAGCAGGGUCUCUAAAUCCCUCUAUACUGAGAACCCCGCAGGACCUCUUUUCACCUGAGAAACUUUUGUGACCCACGGAUGUAGGUAUAUAAAAUAGGUAGACAAGCCAAAUACUGAUGAUAUAUAAAUAUAUAAAUCAUAAAGAAGUUUAUUUUAAAACAACUCUGUUGUAUAUAUCUAACUUCACAAUUUAUUAGUGACAAAAUCAAACCUGCCACACAGGUAGAUAUAUGUGCUGGCCUAACUUUAUGUAGAGUCAAAUGUUGGCAGAUACUAUAUGAUAUAUAUAUAUACUAUUUGAUACUAUAUGAUAUCUUCAGCAUUUUUUCAUUUGACUGAUAUUCUGAUCUUAUAAUUAUCAAUACUGAGAAUGUGGUUUUUACAUAAACAUGGACCACAAAAUGGCAGAUGUAUGCUUAGGAAAUUGUUGGAAAUUCUAUCCUAAUCCCAAGCCAAAAUUCAUUUAUUUACUAUUUUAGGAAACCCAAGUCAGCAACUCAAACAAGCAAUUUUUAAAAACCAAACAUCCUUACACAAUAUAAUCAAAAGGCACAUUACAUUGAUCUUUAUAUGAUGGAGAAUGAUGAUAGGGGUGUAUAAAAAAGUGCUCAGGUUCCUGGAAAGAUGCCUUAGAGGUUAAAGGCACCGACUGCUCCUUCAGAGGCCCUGGGCUCAAUCCCUAGCAGUCACGUGGCAGCUCACAACUGUCUGUAAUUUCAGUUCAAGGGGAUCGCACACCUUCUGGCCCCCACUGGCAGUUGAUAUGCAGUGCAUAGACAUAUAUGUAGGUGAAAUACCCAUAUAUGUAAAAAAUAAAUAAAAAAUUUCUGUAACUAAACCAUUUUGCUUAAAGAGCCAAAACUUCAUAUGGUAAUUAUGAAAUUCAGAACAGGCAGUCCCAGAGCCGAGGUGUUCCUGUAGCGUUCCUUGGCGCUGCAUGACUUCGCUAGCGGUAGUGGCUGAGUCAUGCUGCAUGACAAGGGCAAGUCCCGCCCCCAAAGCCUUGGAUUCAUUAUACACUUGAUUUUGAAUUAACUUUUGCUCAUUUAAUGUUCAGAAACCUUUUACUGUUGCUCCAAAUCGCAUGACUCACUCGCUCACGUAUGUGGCCCCGAGUGAGGGUUGUGACUGACGGUUUGCUGUAGUAGGUGUAGACUAAAGCAUGCAGGAGGAUUAUCCACGGUUAUAUGAGAGCACUAGGCAAUGCUCUGUGACACUGGCACCGCCACGGACUUUUGUUGUCUGCAGAGGGUUCUGGAGCCAAUCCGCCAUGGGUACGGAAGGAUGAGUACAUCUGAAAAAAUAUGACUGACAGCACCCUAGAGUCUGCUACCCCCUUUAGGCCGCUCCUGACCUCUCCCCUUCUGUUUCCUUUUCCUAUCUCACUGGAUAGCCCUGGCUAGUCUGGAACUCUCUCAGUAGAUCAGGCUGACCUCAAACUGUUGUUGAUAUUUCUGCCUCUCAAGGGCGGGGGUUGCAGACACAUGCCACAAGUCUGUUGCUUUUCUUUCCUUGUAAGCAAACAAUUUAGUUAUUUGAAGAUAUAUUCUCAACACUGUAACUUGAUUAGACUGCACAGGAAAUUCUGAGACGUAAGAGCAGGUCAUUCCUUUAACAGUACCGCAUCCUCCAUCGUGUCUAUUUCCUUGCAUGUAAGAAUCACCCAGAAAUGAGCAGUGCAGUUGGGUCCUCUACUUAUGCAAGGUACAGCGUGGAAGGCACCUACAGUCUGCAGCUACAGCUACAGUGGAAGGGACGCAGGUCAUAGGGCGCGAACCAUAGGGAGUGCUGAGAGCUGUGUAAGACAGGGAGAAUGCUCGCCCUGCUCCUGUGCACCUUAGCGCUCUUGUACUCCAGUCUGACUCUACAAAGGCGGCGAGCCUUCUCACCCAUGCCAGCCUUGCUGUGGUCCUCUUUGGUCUCAUGAGUGCUAUAGACUUGGCCACAAUCCGAGGAAAGGGGAGCUGUGAGAGACACUGCUACAAAGUCAGGUGGAGGUGGCACGCACUACAACCACACCUUUAAUCCCAGCACUCGGAAGGCAGGGGCAGACAGAUCUCUAUGAGUUUGAGGCCAGCCUGGGCUACACAGCGAGUUCCACCUCCUCUCCCUCCACCUCCUCUCCCUCCACCUCCUCUCCCUCCACCUCCUCUCCCUCCACCUCCUCUCCCUCCACCUCCUUUUCCCCCACCCUCCUCUCUGUCCACCUCC